UCCAGCCCUUUCCACGAACCCCUCCCUUCGGGGACGGCAGAAGGGUUCUGGGUAAGAGACCCAGUUGCGCAACAACAAAGCAGCGCAGUUUCCAAACAUCGGGCUUCGUAAGACAGUUGGGCGCCAAGGAGCGCCGCGGAAAACCCGCGUCCGGGCGGCCUUGCUCCUCUAGCUGUCCCGCAAGGAGGAGAGACCCAAGAACCGCAGCCUCCUCGCACGCUCGCCCACCCAGGAGGCCCACGCUGAGGAAGGGUCGCCUACAACCAAUUCCGUAUGCAGUAGGGCGCGGUUAGUUCGGGGCGCCCGGCCGGCGGGGUCGUACCAUUCCCGGUCCGGGGGGACCUGGGAGGGGCCGCGCGGAGGUCUUCUUCCAGGAACUUCCUCUAUCGAGACGCUGCCUAGCUCAAUGAGGUGACGUGAAGUAUGUUGGCGACGGGCUCUCUCGGGGCGGGUUGCAGGUCCGUUGUCUCCUGCCUGAGCGCCUCUCCGUCCUCCGCUCCAACUCCCCCCUCCCGCGUUGGUUCACGCCACGAUCGCGGACUCGCAGGCCUUUCUGCGCAGGUGCGCGGCGGAGGGCGCAGAUCUCGCAGGUCCACGCGGCGGGUCGGACGGUGCAGGUGUCCACUGUGUGGCUGGUGCUGCGAUCCGGAGCCAUGGGUCUCCAGGUCCAAGUCGUUUAUUGUGGAGCUUGAGGCUACAAGUCCAAGUAUCUUCAGCUCAAGAAGAAGUUAGAAGAUGAGUUCCCUGGGUGCCUGGACAUUGUGAGUUUCUGGGAUGAGGAGAAAGACUCAUAAACAGGGGCACUUGUCUGUUUCUUAGACCUGGAUAGCAAGGGGGGUGGGUUA
Molecule: long non-coding RNA, 845 nt
Organism: Otolemur garnettii (small-eared galago)
Lineage: Eukaryota; Metazoa; Chordata; Mammalia; Primates; Galagidae
Exons: 3
Source: RefSeq, a predicted model, not a curated record